CAGCAACCACGGUAAUACGAAGGGGGCUAGCGUUGUUCGGAAUCACUGGGCGUAAAGCGCACGUAGGCGGACUUUUAAGUCAGGGGUGAAAUCCCGAGGCUCAACCUUGGAACUGCCUUUGAUACUGGAAGUCUUGAGUUCGGGAGAGGUGAGUGGAACUGCGAGUGUAGAGGUGAAAUUCGUAGAUAUUCGCAAGAACACCAGUGGCGGAGGCGGCUCACUGGCCCGAUACUGACGCUGAGGUGCGAAAGCGUGGGGAGCAAACAGGAUUAGAUACCCGUGUAGUCCCUGUCUCUUAUAC
Molecule: ribosomal RNA, 301 nt
Filed under: uncultured bacterium
Lineage: Bacteria
Description: partial 16S ribosomal RNA
Rfam family: Bacterial small subunit ribosomal RNA
Source: RNAcentral